GUGAUCACUUCAGCAGCACCUGUACCAAAAUUGGAACGAUACUGAGAUUAUUAACAUGGCUUCUGUGCAAGGAUGAGAUGAAAAUUCAUGAAGUGUUCUGUAUUUUU
RNAcentral lists this small nuclear RNA (107 nucleotides) under Monodon monoceros (narwhal). Lineage: Eukaryota; Metazoa; Chordata; Mammalia; Artiodactyla; Monodontidae. The record is from RNAcentral.